RNAcentral lists this transfer RNA (72 nucleotides) under Parcubacteria group bacterium. RNAcentral describes it as "tRNA-Thr". It matches the Rfam family "tRNA". Rfam says of the family: Transfer RNA (tRNA) molecules are approximately 80 nucleotides in length. Their secondary structure includes four short double-helical elements and three loops (D, anti-codon, and T loops). Further hydrogen bonds mediate the characteristic L-shaped molecular structure. tRNAs have two regions of fundamental functional importance: the anti-codon, which is responsible for specific mRNA codon recognition, and the 3' end, to which the tRNAs corresponding amino acid is attached (by aminoacyl-tRNA synthetases). tRNAs cope with the degeneracy of the genetic code in two manners: having more than one tRNA (with a specific anti-codon) for a particular amino acid; and 'wobble' base-pairing, i.e. permitting non-standard base-pairing at the 3rd anti-codon position. The record is from RNAcentral.
GCCGAAGUAGCUCAAUGGUAGAGCAACGGUUUUGUAAACCGUAGGUUACCGGUUCAAAUCCGGUCUUCGGCU